RNAcentral lists this transfer RNA (77 nucleotides) under Candidatus Thioglobus sp. Its description in RNAcentral is "tRNA-Arg". It matches the Rfam family "tRNA". From Rfam's summary of the family: Transfer RNA (tRNA) molecules are approximately 80 nucleotides in length. The record is from RNAcentral. Lineage: Bacteria; Pseudomonadati; Pseudomonadota; Gammaproteobacteria; Pseudothioglobaceae (SeqCode).
GCCUUCGUAGCUCAGCUGGAUAGAGCAGUCGCCUCCUAAGCGACAGGCCAGUGGUUCGAAUCCACUCGAGGGCACCA